UGCCCAAGUGGGCAGAGGGAUCCUCCUCCCAUCCGCGCUGGUCACAAGGAAAGUAACAGAACACUGUUGGUUACAAAAGCACUGAAUAUUCUAGCUUACAUGAGCAGGCAAUGCUCAUGCAUUCAUAAUGAUCAGGUCAUGCCCAAAAUUAACCAGAGGCAUGGUUUCUCAGGAUGUCUGCAAAGAAUUCCUUAUACAUAGUAGUUAACUGUCAGCUCACUGUCAAGCUUGUUAUGGACUAUCCUAAAGAACUCUUUUCAAAACAAAUACGCCACAGAAAAGCUCACUCUUCAGCCAUGUGGGUGUAAAGCAGCUUGUUGUCCUUUGGAUUUAGACCAGGAACCAGACCCCAGCUCUACUUUAUUUAGCAAUAUGAUCUUAACUGUAGGAUUUUGUUGUCCCUGAGACAUACAUAAUGUCAUGAUGUUUCAGCACAUAUCUCCCACAUCCCAAAGGAAGACUUGAUAUUUCUUUUUUUCUUGGCUUUAUAUUGUCAGAGAUUUUCAUUUUAUGUAGAGAGCUGAAAAUGAUUUUUUUUUUCUGAUGAGAACUUACAGCUAGAAUCCAAACUAAAGAAUAUAGAGGUCUUGGAACAAAGUCUAAAGGUUGAUGUCAAGUCUAGGUAAACUAUGUCAAGAAGCUGUCAUGGAAGCACACGCUAAAC
Molecule: long non-coding RNA, 664 nt
Organism: Pogoniulus pusillus (Red-fronted tinkerbird)
Lineage: Eukaryota; Metazoa; Chordata; Aves; Piciformes; Lybiidae
Exons: 3
Source: RefSeq, a predicted model, not a curated record